This 468-nucleotide ribosomal RNA is filed under the name uncultured bacterium. Its description in RNAcentral is "partial 16S ribosomal RNA". It matches the Rfam family "Bacterial small subunit ribosomal RNA", at positions 28 to 507 of the family's 1533-position model. The record is from RNAcentral.
GACGAACGCUGGCGGCGUGCUUAACACAUGCAAGUCGAACGGAAAGGCCCUGCUUUUGUGGGUUGCUCGAGUGGCGAACGGGUGAGUAACACGUGAGUAACCUGCCCUUGACUUUGUGAUAACUUCAGGAAACUGGGGCUAAUACCGGAUAGGAGCUCCUGCUGCAUGGUGGGGGUUGGAAAGUUUCGGCUGUUGGGGAUGGACUCGCGGCUUAUCAGCUUGUUUGUGGGGUAGUUGCUUACCAAGGCUUUGACGGGUAGCCGGCCUGAGAGGGUGACCGGGCACCUUGGGACUGAGGUACGGACCAGAAGCCUACGGGCGGCAGCAGUGGGGAAUAUUGCACAAUGGGCGGAAGCCUGAUGCAGCAACGCCGGGUGCGGGAUGACGGCCUUCGGGUUGUAAACCGAUUUCGCCUGUGACGAAGCGUGCGUGACGGUAAUGGGUAAAGAAGCACCGGCUAACUACGUG